This 86-nucleotide transfer RNA is filed under the name Candidatus Chisholmbacteria bacterium RIFCSPLOWO2_01_FULL_49_14. RNAcentral describes it as "tRNA-Leu". It matches the Rfam family "tRNA". From Rfam's summary of the family: Transfer RNA (tRNA) molecules are approximately 80 nucleotides in length. Their secondary structure includes four short double-helical elements and three loops (D, anti-codon, and T loops). Lineage: Bacteria; Candidatus Chisholmiibacteriota. The record is from RNAcentral.
GCUCGGGUGCUGGAACUGGCAGACAGGCGGGUCUCAAAAACCCGUGGUAUUAACACACCGUGUGGGUUCGACUCCCUCCCCGAGCA